Molecule: ribosomal RNA, 301 nt
Filed under: uncultured Methanotorris sp.
Lineage: Archaea; Methanobacteriati; Methanobacteriota; Methanococci; Methanococcales; Methanocaldococcaceae
Description: bacterial SSU rRNA
Rfam family: Bacterial small subunit ribosomal RNA
Source: RNAcentral
CGCAACGAGGUGCGCGGGGGCGCGAUAUGUCGUGGGGGGGUGGCGUUGGCCGGAUGCAUGGGGCGUAAGGAGCUCGUGGGCGGCUGAGCAAGUCGGAUGUGAAAACUCCAGGCUCAACCUGGGGCCGCCAUUCGAUACUGCUAUGGCUAGAGUCCGGUAGGGGAGUGUGGAAUUCCCGGUGUAGCGGUGAAAUGCGCAGAUAGCGGGAGGAACACCGAUGGCGAAGGCAGCACUCUGGGCCGGCACUGACGCUGAGGAGCGAAAGCGUGGGGAGCGAACAGGAUUAGAUACCCCAGUAGUC